AAAAGGAUGGUGCUGCAUGGAUUUGGUAUUUUCAAUAAACAAUGUUCUCGAGAACUUGACAAAAAAUUAUCAAUAUAAUUAGCGCGCAGCAAAUUAAUCAAAGAUUAUAAAAUAAGCACAGAAAAUACUGUAAACACAAAUUGAAACAUGACACAAAAUAUCAGUAAUAAAAAAACGAUGCACCUAUUGAAAGAACUAGAUUCUUCUAAAUCGGCUGAAGCUUUAUGUUUCUAUUGUUUAUCAACAGGACGAACUUUGAUUUGUCUCUCCUCUUGUAAACACAUAACUUUUCUUGAAAAGCUUUUUAAAAAUAAGCUGAACUUAAGAAGCAUGCUACUGUGUACAGAAUGUCAUCAUUUACUGAAGAAGACAGAUCUGUUCUUGAAGAGAGUGGAACAGUGUUGCUCCAUUCUCCAAGGAAAGACAUCUCAGUUCAAGAAGGUAUUAAAUUACACUUACAGCACCCUCCUGCUAUUUUCGACCUUAAACAACGAACUAUGUGAAGUCAAAAUUGAGCCUGAAGAUGUUGAAGUUAAAGAAGUUGUUGCAGAAAAUACGCCAGAAGUGAACGAUUUCUACAAUGAAACAGCGGAAUUUCCUGAGUUACAGGCACAGGGAUGUGAAGAGAUGAAAGAGGAUGGCUGGAACCUUGAGCUUGUCGGCGGACGUGAAGAGAUGAAAAAGGAUGGCUGGAUCCUUGAGCUUGUCGGCGGGAUCAGAUUGAUGGUGAUAGAGUUAUCUGACGCCGAGCUAGGGGCUGAGAGGGAGAGGGCCAUCCGCGACCCUAGAUACACAAAGAAGUCGUACAAAUGUCAGAAAUGUAUAAUCUCUUACGACCACGCCAUUAACUUGGACAGGCAUUUGACACUCAGCCAUAAUGAGAAUAACGCACACGUGUGCGACGUAUGCGAAUGUACUUACGACACAGAAUCGAAAGUCAGAACUCACACGAAGAGACAUUAUUUGAGGUACAAGUGUAUGGAAUGCGAUAAGUUGUACCAGGACAAACAAACAGCCGUUGUGCACUACAAAGAAGCACAUACGGUCAAUCGGAAGAUAUACAGAUGCGAUCUGUCGCACUGUCGCUUCGAGACUGCCUCUCACAGAAGCUACAAAUAUCAUCAAGCGAAACACAAUCAAGUUAAAUGCUCUUUAUGCGACGGAAUGUACUUGCAGGGGACCCAAUUGAGGAUGCAUAUCAACACCGUCCACAAAAACGCAUCGCAAUUCAAGUGCGAGUCGUGCGAUAAGGUCUACAAGCACCGGGCAGGGUUGCGCGCGCACGUGAGGUCGGCGCACGAAGCGAACAACGAGACGUCUCAUUACUGCAGCCCUUGUCGCAAAUUCUUCAGCACCGCUUCCACGCUGGCCCAACAUCUGAUCGAACAUUCGAAGCAUGUCGGCAAAAAGUUUGUCUUGACGAUAAAUCACCAGUUGCGAACUUGUACGUUUGCGAUGAUUGCUCAAAGAGAUACUCCACGAAGCGCUUCCUGAGACAACACAUAGAAACGGCACAUUUGAAGCUCAAACCCGAUUACAAGUGCACGAUUUGUGAUAAGAUCUUCAAUACGUCGUUCACGCUCAGAAGACACGUGGAGUUUAAACACGAGAAAAAAAAGUUGCCUCGCGAUAAAAUCUGCGAACAUUGCGGACGCGGGUUCAUG
Molecule: unclassified non-coding RNA, 1664 nt
Filed under: Bombyx mandarina (wild silkworm)
Lineage: Eukaryota; Metazoa; Arthropoda; Insecta; Lepidoptera; Bombycidae
Description: zinc finger protein 436-like, transcript variant X1
Source: RNAcentral